GGGCUUGACAUCCCACGAACCUGCCCGAAAAGGUGGGGUGCCCGCAAGGGAGCGUGGAGACAGGUGGUGCAUGGCUGUCGUCAGCUCGUGUCGUGAGAUGUUGGGUUAAGUCCCGCAACGAGCGCAACCCUCACCCCUAGUUGCCACCGGGUUAAGCCGAGCACUCAAGGGGAACUGCCAGCGUCAAGCUGGAGGAAGGCGGGGAUGACGUCAAGUCAUCAUGCCCCUUACGCCCUGAGCUACACACGUGCUACAAUAGUCAGUACAAAGGGACGCGAGACUGCGAAGUGGAGCUAAUCCCAAAAAGCUGGUCUAAGUUCAGAUUGCAGUCUGCAACUCGACUGCAUGAAGGAGGAGUCGCUAGUAAUCGCGCAUCAGCCCGGCGCGGUGAAUACGUUCCCGGGCCUUGUACACACCGCCCGUCGCACCACGAAAGCUGUCUGUACUCGAAGUCGCUGAG
RNAcentral lists this ribosomal RNA (460 nucleotides) under uncultured Methylomirabilota bacterium. Its description in RNAcentral is "bacterial SSU rRNA". It matches the Rfam family "Bacterial small subunit ribosomal RNA", at positions 977 to 1434 of the family's 1533-position model. Lineage: Bacteria; Methylomirabilota (SeqCode). The record is from RNAcentral.